AAGUCUAUAAUAUAAGAAAACUAAUGGUUCUGGAAAAGUUAAUUAUGUCUCUUGCCCUUUUAUAAUCACUUAUGCAAUUUUGUUAAAUAAAUUUCUCUACACAUUUGCAAAUUUCUUUUCUCUUUUUCUUUUUUCCUCGGGCUCUCUCUCUCUUUUCUCCUACCAUUUUUCUUUCUCUCUUCUCUCUCUUUGCUUGUUGCAUCUCUCACAUUCCUCUCAAUUAUUUCUUCUUUAUUUUCUCUCAUUCUCUCAUUCAUUUAUAUCUCAUCUCUUUAUCUUCAUCAAUAUUUUACACCUUUGUGAUUUAU
This 308-nucleotide long non-coding RNA is filed under the name Lathyrus oleraceus (garden pea). Its description in RNAcentral is "Pisum sativum (pea) long non-coding RNA (PSAT_LNC023386)". Lineage: Eukaryota; Viridiplantae; Streptophyta; Magnoliopsida; Fabales; Fabaceae. The record is from RNAcentral.